AACGAACGCUGGCGGCAUGCCUAACACAUGCAAGUCGAACGAUAACUUCGGGUCUAGUGGCGAACGGGUGCGUAACGCGUGGGAACCUGCCCUUAGGUUCGGAACAACUCCCCGAAAGGGGUGCUAAUAUCGGAUCAGUUCUUCGGACCAAAGAUUUAUCGACUUUGGAUGGGGCCGAGUUGGAUUAGCUAGUUGGUAGGGUAAAAGCCUACCAAGGCGACGAUCCAUAGCGGGUCUGAGAGGAUGAUCAGCCACACUGGGACUGGGACACGGCCCAGACUCCUACGGGAGGCAGCAGUGGGGAAUAUUGGACAGUGGGCGGAAGCCUGAUCCAGCAAUGCCGCGUGAGUGAUGAAGGCCUUAGGGUUGUAAAGCUCUUUUACCCGGGAUGAUAAUGACAGUACCGGGAGAAUAAGCUCCGGCUAACUCCGUG
This 433-nucleotide ribosomal RNA is filed under the name uncultured bacterium. RNAcentral describes it as "partial 16S ribosomal RNA". It matches the Rfam family "Bacterial small subunit ribosomal RNA", at positions 29 to 507 of the family's 1533-position model. The record is from RNAcentral.